Molecule: transfer RNA, 72 nt
Filed under: Phytophthora boehmeriae
Lineage: Eukaryota; Oomycota; Peronosporomycetes; Peronosporales; Peronosporaceae
Rfam family: tRNA
About the family: Transfer RNA (tRNA) molecules are approximately 80 nucleotides in length. Their secondary structure includes four short double-helical elements and three loops (D, anti-codon, and T loops).
Source: Rfam by way of RNAcentral
GCUCAUGAUGUCCAGUGGAUGGGCCCGAGCUUAACACACUCGGUGGCGCUGGUUCGAUUCCAGCCAGGAGCU